AUGGUUCACGAGGAUGAGAGCAGCGACGACUACUCCAGCCUGCAGUACAUGAACUCCUCCGAUGACGACAGCAUGUUGGACCGGAUCCCUGCCAGCAUUGAAGACCAAGACUACAUGGGCAUUGAGACUGGAACCAUUGUUCCCUGCGAGCAGCAUGGGCUGCCAUGUGAGAGGCGUGUAGCCUUUGAGGGAUUUGAGACGGGCAGGAGGUUCUUAGCCUGUCCUCUUAAAGCAUCUGUUAAUUUUUAUGUGGCCAGGAGCUUAGUUUCCAGUGCGCAGCAUUGUUUAAGCUUUGAUCCUGUUAGUUUAGUGCUUUAUGAGUGCUUUAUAGUUGAUUAUUAGUGGCCUCCUACAAUGCAAAAUGCACUGUUGAAGCUAUGGGAAAUGUAUCAAGACAGCAAGAGUGAUAGGAGGAAGGAUAACCUGGAGAGUUCACUCGCUAUUCAUCAUUUGAGAGAAGAAAAAAAUAAACUGGAGGCCAACUAUGACAAAUUAGUUGAAGAUGUUCAUGAACUUUUGAAUGCCCAAGAGGAUAGGGUGCUGGAUUUCAGAUAUUUGCAGUCUAAGAGUGCAGAGGAGAGGAAUGCUGAGGUGACCAACUCAGUUGUCUCAGAUAUGAAGACAAAGAUGGAGAAGAAAGAGGCAGAGAUCUUCAAGCUGCAAGGGAAGUAUGAAGUCCUUAUGAACCUGACAAAAGCCCAAGGCACUGUCAUCAGGAACCUGAAGUUUAACCAUUUGAAAGAGAAUGAAGUGCUUAGUGCAGACAUGAGGAACUUGCAGUUCCAGGUUGCUGAACUAACUAAGCUAACCCAAGAAAAUCUCAAGUUGAAGCAGGAUGCUGAACUCACCCAGUCUCAGGAAAAGCUUACCCAAGAGAAUCUCCAGCUGAAGGAUCACAUUGGUGAUAUGAAAAAGGGACAUGAUAAGCUCAUCCAAGAGAAUCUCCAGCUGAAGGAUCACAUGGGUGAUCUGAAAAAGGGCCAUGACAAGCUCACUAAAGAUAGGGCUCAGCUCAAGCUUCAGAUUGCUAAUCUGUUGAAGGCAAAGGAGAAGAACAAGCAGAAGAUGAAGGGGAUCCAGGCCAUCUUGGAUGAAUGA
Molecule: ribosomal RNA, 1098 nt
Filed under: Triticum aestivum (bread wheat)
Lineage: Eukaryota; Viridiplantae; Streptophyta; Magnoliopsida; Poales; Poaceae
Description: partial small subunit ribosomal RNA
Source: RNAcentral